UAGGGAAUCUUCGGCAAUGGACGAAAGUCUGACCGAGCAACGCCGCGUGAGUGAAGAAGGUUUUCGGAUCGUAAAGCUCUGUUGUAAGAGAAGAACGGGUGUGAGAGUGGAAAGUUCACACUGUGACGGUAUCUUACCAGAAAGGGACGGCUAACUACGUGCCAGCAGCCGCGGUAAUACGUAGGUCCCGAGCGUUGUCCGGAUUUAUUGGGCGUAAAGCGAGCGCAGGCGGUUAGAUAAGUCUGAAGUUAAAGGCUGUGGCUUAACCAUAGUACGCUUUGGAAACUGUUUAACUUGAGUGCAGAAGGGGAGAGUGGAAUUCCAUGUGUAGCGGUGAAAUGCGUAGAUAUAUGGAGGAACACCGGUGGCGAAAGCGGCUCUCUGGUCUGUAACUGACGCUGAGGCUCGAAAGCGUGGGGAGCGAACAGGAUUAGAUGCCCUGGUAGUCCACGCCGUANCGAUGAGUGCUAGGUGUUAGGCCCUUUCCGGGGCUUAGUGCCGCAGCUAACGCAUUAAGCACUCCGCCUGGGGAGUACGACCGCAAGGUU
Molecule: ribosomal RNA, 548 nt
Filed under: uncultured bacterium
Lineage: Bacteria
Description: bacterial SSU rRNA
Rfam family: Bacterial small subunit ribosomal RNA
Source: RNAcentral